AUCCAGCUGACGAGCCCAAAAUAGGACGAAACACGCGUCGUGGAU
Molecule: non-coding RNA, 45 nt
Filed under: Schistosoma mansoni
Lineage: Eukaryota; Metazoa; Platyhelminthes; Trematoda; Strigeidida; Schistosomatidae
Source: RNAcentral